This is a long non-coding RNA of Drosophila miranda, 790 nucleotides long. RefSeq lists it as uncharacterized. NCBI's taxonomy places the organism in Eukaryota, Metazoa, Arthropoda, Insecta, Diptera, Drosophilidae. The record is from RefSeq and is a predicted model, not a curated record. The transcript is spliced from 3 exons.
UCUUGAACUGCUUUGAUUGCACGGAUUCUCUUAUCUCUAGCACAAGCCACUGCUUGCUGAACACAGCCUAAACUGCUUGGAUUUUGCACUUUCCACCGCCAAAAGGAAGCAUCAUCAACAGAUCUGAUUGGUUUUGGCCACUUUUUUCAUCACACAUGCACACACAUCUGAAGCUGCAGGAGGAGGUCCAGGAUUCAUGCAGAAAGUUUCUGGCGGACAGAGGAAUACUGAAUGCAGAAAUAUUUCUACAUCGAAGUGCCAGCCCAUCAAUGAAACUGGGGGAAAUCUUAAAGCUAAACAUCCACAAAAGAUGUUUACGGCGCAUGGAUACCCUGUGGAACAGCCGUUUAAACAAUGGUUGCCACUUGAAGACUCAAAAUAUAUAAAUAGUAAAAUGCGUAAAGCCUGUACAUUUCAAUGGUAAAGCCACAAGAGUGGCUUUUGAACCUGUCUCCCAAUGAAACCUGCCUGAAUCGUGAAUGACAGUGUCCUGGGUGGUGGGGACUUCUCCCAUGACACGCCAGACAAACAACCGGGGAUUUUUACAUGGGAACAUACGGAAUUCUGCGUCAUUCAAAUUCAUGGGUUGUAAGACACUUGUUUAGACACCUCUAGUAUGUACUGCCAUUCGAUGUUCAAAUGACUCUUCAGACAUACCAUAGUAUUGUAUCAUAUUCCGAUAUACACCUAAUUUUGUUUUUACAUGGUCUUUUUUUACACGGUUUUGAAAUAACACGGUUAGAAAAUCAAAAAUUUUAAAUUUGUACAGGGUUUUAUUCGAUUUAACACG